UUUUUAUUAAUAAAAUUCCCUCAUAUGGUACAUUUACGAAUAUAGUAGCAAUAAAGUUGUAAAUGUAGAAUAAUUUCUACAGUAAUAUAUUAUGUGUAAACUUAGGUGUACGCUUUAGCCUUUUUAUGACGCUUUCUGUCUACGAAAAGCUUGCAGUAGUGUUAUGUUUUCUAAAACAUAUUCGUGCUGAUUGACAUGUAUUAUUAUGUUUAGAAGUAAGCAUGACUUGAUUAUUUUGAGGCAUCGGUCACUUUUAUAGAUUAUGUACAGUAAUUUAAAAUAAAAUUACUUAUCAGCGGUAUAUCAUAUCAUCAAAACAAAUCUAUACUGGAUGGUGAUGCCCUCAGUAAAAACACGUCUAUUAGCUGUGUUUUGUAGAAUCCAGCAUAGAUACCAAGUUUUUUUUUUAUGUUGGACGCUAAGCCUCUUCAAUCAUCUGUAUAACAAAUAUCUAGACAAUUUGAUAGCCAGGCACACUCCAACAACAGACGUCUAUCGCUAUAAGCAGAUUGAAUUAUGGUUAAGAAAUGAUUUUUUGCAGCAUUGUGUAUUAUCUACGAAACCUCAUUUUGUCACAAAUCUAUAGACGUAAGCGCAUUUUCUGUCCUGUGAUAUUGUUUUUACAUGUAUUUAUUUAAUAUAUAUUUAUGUUUAUAUUAAUGACGAAAGGCUCUGUCAUUUGUAUUUUACAUGACGCUGAUAUUUUUGAGUAUCUAAGAAUUCACAUACAAUGAAGAUCGAUGUUUUGUUGUUGAGUUUGAACAGGGUUUCCCAUUGGUCAGUUUUGUUUUUCGCCAACCCUUUUGGCGAAACAAUACAUGUUUCGUAAAUUUCAGUUUAAUUCAUCAACUAACAUUUACAUAUUUUUCGUUUAAA
This 876-nucleotide long non-coding RNA is filed under the name Mytilus galloprovincialis (Mediterranean mussel). The record is from RNAcentral. Lineage: Eukaryota; Metazoa; Mollusca; Bivalvia; Mytilida; Mytilidae.